UAGGGAAUCUUCGGCAAUGGACGAAAGUCUGACCGAGCAACGCCGCGUGAGUGAAGAAGGUUUUCGGAUCGUAAAACUCUGUUGUUAGAGAAGAACAAGGACGUUAGUAACUGAACGUCCCCUGACGGUAUCUAACCAGAAAGCCACGGCUAACUACGUGCCAGCAGCCGCGGUAAUACGUAGGUGGCAAGCGUUGUCCGGAUUUAUUGGGCGUAAAGCGAGCGCAGGCGGUUUCUUAAGUAUGAUGUAAAAGCCCCCGGCUCAACCGGGGAGGGUCAUUGGAAACUGGGAGACUUGAGUGCAGAAGAGGAGAGUGGAAUUCCAUGUGUAGCGGUGAAAUGCGUAGAUAUAUGGAGGAACACCAGUGGCGAAGGCGGCUCUCUGGUCUGUAACUGACGCUGAGGCUCGAAAGCGUGGGGAGCAAACAGG
This 429-nucleotide ribosomal RNA is filed under the name Gemmatimonadota bacterium. RNAcentral's name for it is "Gemmatimonadetes bacterium partial 16S ribosomal RNA". It matches the Rfam family "Bacterial small subunit ribosomal RNA", at positions 355 to 776 of the family's 1533-position model. Lineage: Bacteria; Pseudomonadati; Gemmatimonadota. The record is from RNAcentral.